GUGGGGAAUUUUGGACAAUGGGCGCAAGCCUGAUCCAGCCAUGCCGCGUGCAGGAUGAAGGCCUUCGGGUUGUAAACUGCUUUUGUACGGAACGAAAAGACUUCUUCUAAUACAGGAGGUCCAUGACGGUACCGUAAGAAUAAGCACCGGCUAACUACGUGCCAGCAGCCGCGGUAAUACGUAGGGUGCAAGCGUUAAUCGGAAUUACUGGGCGUAAAGCGUGCGCAGGCGGUUAUAUAAGACAGAUGUGAAAUCCCCGGGCUCAACCUGGGAACUGCAUUUGUGACUGUAUAACUAGAGUACGGUAGAGGGGGAUGGAAUUCCGCGUGUAGCAGUGAAAUGCGUAGAUAUGCGGAGGAACACCGAUGGCGAAGGCAAUCCCCUGGACCUGUACUGACGCUCAUGCACGAAAGCGUGGGGAGCAAACAGGAUUAGAUACCCCAGUAGUCC
RNAcentral lists this ribosomal RNA (450 nucleotides) under uncultured bacterium. Its description in RNAcentral is "partial 16S ribosomal RNA". It matches the Rfam family "Bacterial small subunit ribosomal RNA", at positions 354 to 796 of the family's 1533-position model. The record is from RNAcentral.